GACGAACGCUGGCGGCGUGCUUAACACAUGCCAGUCGAACGGAAAGGCCCUGCUUUUGUGGGGUGCUCGAGUGGCGAACGGGUGAGUAACACGUGAGUAACCUGCCCUUGACUUUGGGAUAACUUCAGGAAACUGGGGCUAAUACCGGAUAGGAGCUCCUGCUGCAUGGUGGGGGUUGGAAAGGUUCGGCGGUUGGGGAUGGACUCGCGGCUUAUCAGCUUGUUGGUGGGGUAGUGGCUUACCAAGGCUUUGACGGGUAGCCGGCCUGAGAGGGUGACCGGCCACAUUGGGACUGAGAUACGGCCCAGACUCGUACGGGAGGCAGCAGUGGGGAAUAUUGCACAAUGGGCGGAAGCCUGAUGCAGCAACGCCGCGUGCGGGAUGACGGCCUUCGGGUUGUAAACCGCUUUCGCCUGUGACGAAGCGUGAGUGACGGUAAUGGGUAAAGAAGCACCGGCUAACUACGUG
Molecule: ribosomal RNA, 468 nt
Filed under: uncultured bacterium
Lineage: Bacteria
Description: partial 16S ribosomal RNA
Rfam family: Bacterial small subunit ribosomal RNA
Source: RNAcentral